RNAcentral lists this ribosomal RNA (826 nucleotides) under Streptomyces sp. SID8380. RNAcentral's name for it is "partial 23S ribosomal RNA". It matches the Rfam family "Bacterial large subunit ribosomal RNA", at positions 402 to 1214 of the family's 2925-position model. The record is from RNAcentral. Lineage: Bacteria; Bacillati; Actinomycetota; Actinomycetes; Kitasatosporales; Streptomycetaceae.
UUAUUCCCAAGUAGCACGGGGCCCGAGAAAUCCUGUGUGAAUCUGGCGGGACCACCCGCUAAGCCUAAAUAUUCCCUGGUGACCGAUAGCGGAUAGUACCGUGAGGGAAUGGUGAAAAGUACCGCGGGAGCGGAGUGAAAUAGUACCUGAAACCGUGUGCCUACAAGCCGUGGGAGCGUCGGACAUCAGCUUGCUGGUGUCUCGUGACUGCGUGCCUUUUGAAGAAUGAGCCUGCGAGUUUGCGGUGUGUUGCGAGGUUAACCCGUGUGGGGAAGCCGUAGCGAAAGCGAGUCCGAACAGGGCGCUGUAGUAGCACGCUCAAGACCCGAAGCGGAGUGAUCUAGCCAUGGGCAGGUUGAAGCGGCUGUAAGAGGUCGUGGAGGACCGAACCCACCAGGGUUGAAAACCUGGGGGAUGACCUGUGGUUAGGGGUGAAAGGCCAAUCAAACUCCGUGAUAGCUGGUUCUCCCCGAAAUGCAUUUAGGUGCAGCGUCGUGUGUUUCUUGCCGGAGGUAGAGCACUGGAUAGGCGAUGGGCCUUACCGGGUUACUGACCUUAGCCAAACUCCGAAUGCCGGUAAGUGAGAGCACGGCAGUGAGACUGUGGGGGAUAAGCUCCAUGGUCGAGAGGGAAACAGCCCAGAGCAUCGACUAAGGCCCCUAAGCGUACGCUAAGUGGGAAAGGAUGUGGAGUCGCAGAGACAACCAGGAGGUUGGCUUAGAAGCAGCCACCCUUGAAAGAGUGCGUAAUAGCUCACUGGUCUAGUGAUUCCGCGCCGACAAUGUAGCGGGGCUCAAGCGUACCGCCGAAGUCGUGUCAUUGCAGC